RNAcentral lists this ribosomal RNA (449 nucleotides) under uncultured bacterium. RNAcentral's name for it is "bacterial SSU rRNA". It matches the Rfam family "Bacterial small subunit ribosomal RNA", at positions 355 to 796 of the family's 1533-position model. The record is from RNAcentral.
UGGGGAAUAUUGGACAAUGGGGGCAACCCUGAUCCAGCGAUGCCGCGUGGGUGAAGAAGGCCUUCGGGUUGUAAAGCCCUUUAGGUUGGGACGAAGGUUGUAUGGUGAUAAGCCAUGCAGCUUGACGGUACUAACAGAAUAAGCACCGGCAAACUCUGUGCCAGCAGCCGCGGUAAUACAGAGGGUGCAAGCGUUAAUCGGAGUUACUGGGCGUAAAGGGCGCGUAGGCGGUAAUAUGAGUGUGAUGUGAAAGCCCCGGGCUUAACCUGGGAAGUGCAUCGCAAACGAUAUUACUGGAGUAUAAGAGAGGGUGGCGGAAUUUCCGGUGUAGCGGUGAAAUGCGUAGAGAUCGGAAGGAACGUCAAUGGCGAAGGCAGCCACCUGGCUUAAUACUGACGCUGAGGCGCGAAAGCGUGGGUAGCGAACAGGAUUAGAUACCCCCGUAGUCC